GGAGAGGUGCCCGAGAGGCCGAAGGGGCAUGAUUGGAAAUCAUGUGUACUCGUAAGGGUACCGUGGGUUCGAAUCCCACCCUCUCCG
Molecule: transfer RNA, 87 nt
Filed under: Myxococcales bacterium
Lineage: Bacteria; Pseudomonadati; Myxococcota; Myxococcia; Myxococcales
Description: tRNA-Ser
Rfam family: tRNA
About the family: Transfer RNA (tRNA) molecules are approximately 80 nucleotides in length. Their secondary structure includes four short double-helical elements and three loops (D, anti-codon, and T loops).
Source: RNAcentral